RNAcentral lists this ribosomal RNA (482 nucleotides) under uncultured bacterium. Its description in RNAcentral is "bacterial SSU rRNA". It matches the Rfam family "Bacterial small subunit ribosomal RNA", at positions 30 to 507 of the family's 1533-position model. The record is from RNAcentral.
AUUGAACGCUGGCGGCAUGCCUUACACAUGCAAGUCGAACGGCAGCGGACCUUCGGGUGCCGGCGAGUGGCGAACGGGUGAGUAAUGUAUCGGAACGUACCUUUCAGUGGGGGAUAACGUAGCGAAAGUUACGCUAAUACCGCAUAUUCUGUGAGCAGGAAAGCAGGGGAUCGCAAGACCUUGCGCUGAUUGAGCGGCCGAUAUCAGAUUAGCUAGUUGGUGAGGUAAAGGCUCACCAAGGCGACGAUCUGUAGCGGGUCUGAGAGGAUGAUCCGCCACACUGGAACUGAGACACGGUCCAGACUCCUACGGGAGGCAGCAGUGGGGAAUUUUGGACAAUGGGCGCAAGCCUGAUCCAGCCAUGCCGCGUGAGUGAAGAAGGCCUUCGGGUUGUAAAGCUCUUUCAGCAGGAACGAAACGGUGGUCCCUAAUACGGACUACUAAUGACGGUACCUGAAGAAGAAGCACCGGCUAACUACGUG